CCUACGGGUGGCAGCAGUGAGGAAUAUUGGUCAAUGGGCGUAAGCCUGAACCAGCCAAGUCGCGUGAGGGAUGAAGGCUCUAUGGAUCGUAAACCUCUUUUAUACGGGAAUAAAGUGCGGGACGUGUCCCUUUUUGUAUGUACCUUAUGAAUAAGGAUCGGCUAACUCCGUGCCAGCAGCCGCGGUAAUACGGAGGAUCCGAGCGUUAUCCGGAUUUAUUGGGUUUAAAGGGUGCGUAGGCGGAUUUUUAAGUCAGUGGUGAAAGUCUGGGGCUCAACCGUAGAAUUGCCGUUGAAACUGGGAGUCUUGAGUACGGUAGAGGCAGGCGGAAUGCGUGGUGUAGCGGUGAAAUGCUUAGAUAUCACGAAGAACUCCGAUUGCGAAGGCAGCCUGCCAGGC
RNAcentral lists this ribosomal RNA (399 nucleotides) under uncultured bacterium. Its description in RNAcentral is "partial 16S ribosomal RNA". It matches the Rfam family "Bacterial small subunit ribosomal RNA", at positions 338 to 734 of the family's 1533-position model. The record is from RNAcentral.